Molecule: long non-coding RNA, 1505 nt
Organism: Papaver somniferum (opium poppy)
Lineage: Eukaryota; Viridiplantae; Streptophyta; Magnoliopsida; Ranunculales; Papaveraceae
Exons: 2
Source: RefSeq, a predicted model, not a curated record
CUGAAAAGACCAACUAUUCUUGGGGAGAUUUUUUCAUCUUCUUCCUUUCCCCCUUUUUCCCUUUCUCUGUUGAACAGACUUAUGCAUGAGUAGCUUUACAGAAAUCUUAUUAGAUGGAGACACAAAGGUGUGGAUGCAGUUGGUUUGAUUCGUCGUCGAGAUGGAGAAUCUCUUCUUUAUGUUCUUGAAUUCAAUUUCAGAAAUUGGUUUUGGAAGAUGGGGAACGGUAGAGGAUUUGUUUGAGAAAUCAAAUGAAUCGAGCUUGGAAUAUUAUUGAUUCGUUGUUGCUAAUCUUUGUGUCGUUUGCAUGGAAGGUAUGGAUGAUGGAACCGUAAUUUGAGUUUUGAAUUUCAUUGAUCUGACAUAUAAAUUGAGUCAUAAAAUGAGAUCUAACCGUUGAAAUCUUAUGAUUUUUGGAUAUGUUAUACACUAGAAUAUCAGUGAGACUCGUCUAAAAUUUCAUAAUGAUCUGACUUAGGGAAGUGGUAUAAACUGAUGUUUUGCAGAGAACCAUACUGAUGAAUGUAAACUACAUGGUAGAGUUUUUAUACUAAAACGAGGCACUUAGAUUGCAUGGAUUUUGUUAAUUUUCGGAUAUGAGGAACCCAUUUUUGUGAUUACUAAUCUGUAGAAAUUUCAAACAAAAUGUACAAUGGUAAGUACACCAACUAGGGGGCUUUCUCAGUUACGCCUGUGUAGUUCAGUUUGGUUUGAUCAUAUUAAAUAAGUCACAAAUCAAUAUCUAACUGUUAGAACUCAACGAAUUUUGGAUAUGUUAUGCAUAGAUAUGCCUGGAAAUCUCGGUUAAAUUUUUAAUAUAAUCGAACCAGUCAAACUGGUAGAAACUGCUGCAGUACAGAGAACCUAUCAUCAGAAUUCGUAUAACAUGGCAAACUGUUUAGGGUUAAAAUGAGGAACUUAUACUACUGGGAUUUAUCUGAUUUUUGGAUAUGAGAAACCAAACUGGGUUAUGUUUCAUCUGUAGAAAUUUCAAAGCAAAUGGAUCAUGGGAAUUACCCCAAAUAGGGGACUUUGUACAGUGAUGCCUAUAGGAAUUCAGUCUCGUUUGAGCUUACAAAAUCACUCGUAACUUGAUAUCUCACUGUUACAUUCCUUUAAAUUAUAUAUAUAUUGUAAUGGUUAUAGUUAUAGUUAUGAAUGCUUUGUGAAAAUCUUGUUAUGGUACGAUCCAUGGAUUAUUGUUUUUCUGUUUUAUGAUUGAAGUCAUAUCUCAUGAACUAUAACGGCUGAACUCGAUUGAGUGCUUAUUCUCUUCGAUUAUGUGAAUGAUCUCAAAUUUGGUCUCACGGAUUGUUUAGAUGCUAUGUUGAUGAUCAAUUAUUGUAUGAAUUUGUCUUUUGGAAACGUAUGCAACGAAUUACUAUAUGAAAAUGCUAUUUAAUGUACCUUGUUAUCAUAAGAGAAAUGUAAACUGGAAGUCCCGGUGCUGACCUGUAAUCAUUAUUAUUACUUGUGGAUUUGUAAAUAAUAACACCCUUAUUCAA